RNAcentral lists this long non-coding RNA (1270 nucleotides) under Chinchilla lanigera (long-tailed chinchilla). Its description in RNAcentral is "lncRNA (ENSCLAG00000028890.1)". Lineage: Eukaryota; Metazoa; Chordata; Mammalia; Rodentia; Chinchillidae. The record is from RNAcentral.
AUCAGCCGCUCCUCCAAUUUUAAUCAAUUGCUUAUUAUUCCCACAUGUCCGCUUAUCUCCACGACUCCUGCCAUGGGAAAUCAGCACGCUCUGGCCGGUGUGGCCUGGCACAGAGAGAAGCCCCUCGUUGACCCGGGCGGGCAGGGUGGUGAGGGCCUGGAUUGUGGAUGCCCCCAGCCUGGAGCCCUCUUGCUGUGUAGGCAGCUGGGCAGCCCAGUGGCCUCUCCUCCUGGAAUGAAGGUCCUAGACAUGGUGUCACCAACUGAGAAUCAGGAAUACAGGCCUGGGCUAUGGUGGUGACAGCGCCUGCAUUUAGUGGAGCCCUGGAACCCUCGUGGAUCCCCGUGGGGAGCUCUGACUGCACCGGGCAGGACAAGGCUCCAUUCCUGGUUCUCAUCAAGGCUGGGGAGUCCCUGGGUGUCUGAUUCCCAUGCCUGGGAACUUCAGGUUUUGGGCUGACUCACGUAGCCCACCCAGUGAUGGCCGUGUCCAGAAGCACGGUCGGUGUGGAUGGGAGCUCCUCCUCCAGCCGGCCCGCUGCGGUGGCCCUGUGACACUGGAUCGCAGCAAGGCGCCCACCGUCUUGGUAGAGUGAGCUUUCCACUUCCUGCCAGUGACAGAGACAGACACCUGGACUUUGGUUACCAGGGCUCCGUCCCAGGUUCAGACUCACACGUUCUCCCUUGAGGAUUGUUGCCAAAAGUGAACCUGCGUAUCUUAGGGGAAGGGAAAGAGAAUCCACGAACUCUGUAGGUUCCGGAGGGCCACGGUGGGGCUUGGGGGGAGGGGACUCAUCGAGCGCACAGAGAGCAGUAGACCGCCUCCUGGGGCACUGCCUUGACCAGGGCUCCCCAUACCUGGAUGGCGCGUGAUCAGGACUGUGGAUGCCGACAACUGUCCCCUCCUAAACACCGGCGAGCUGAGCCCCCAGCAGCUGGGGCCAUCACUUCCUCUGUGAUCUCCAGGCGUGGCGUAGGGGGAGCUGGUCCCACAUGCCUCUGAGUUCCUGUGCCACUUCCCAACGCCGUGUUGAGCACAAGUACAGAAAAGUUCCCCCGAGGACACAUACGAAUCACACAGGUGCCAGGGUCACCUGCCAUGCUGUAGAUCCCACUGCCAGCCUCUGCCGGAGCACGGCCGUCCACCGGACAUGCUCACUACGCAGGAUUGCAGACACGGCGAUGAUGCCGCUCCACUGUAGGGAAUUUAAAUGCUUUCUUUGUUUUUAUUUUAAUUUUUGACAAAUAAAAGUUAUAUGUAUUUACAGUGU